This 72-nucleotide transfer RNA is filed under the name Ganoderma lucidum Xiangnong No.1. RNAcentral's name for it is "tRNA-Gly (GCC) (tRNA-Gly-GCC-3-1)". It matches the Rfam family "tRNA". Rfam says of the family: Transfer RNA (tRNA) molecules are approximately 80 nucleotides in length. Lineage: Eukaryota; Fungi; Basidiomycota; Agaricomycetes; Polyporales; Polyporaceae. The record is from RNAcentral.
GCAUUAAUGGGGUAGUGGUAACCUGGGUCGUUGCCAUCGAACCCGCCGGGGGUUCGAUUCCCCCUAAAUGCA